This 68-nucleotide transfer RNA is filed under the name Marmota monax (woodchuck). It matches the Rfam family "tRNA". Rfam says of the family: Transfer RNA (tRNA) molecules are approximately 80 nucleotides in length. Their secondary structure includes four short double-helical elements and three loops (D, anti-codon, and T loops). Lineage: Eukaryota; Metazoa; Chordata; Mammalia; Rodentia; Sciuridae. The record is from Rfam by way of RNAcentral.
GCAGUAGCUGAAUGGUAGAGUGCUUGCCUAGCAUGCAUGAGGCACUGGGUUCUAUUCUCAGCACUGCA